Gopherus evgoodei (Goodes thornscrub tortoise) is the source of this 719-nucleotide long non-coding RNA. RefSeq lists it as uncharacterized. The record is from RefSeq and is a predicted model, not a curated record. The transcript has 2 exons. Lineage: Eukaryota; Metazoa; Chordata; Testudines; Testudinidae.
GGGCUGCCAUCCGGCAUAGGGGCACCAGUUUAAUAAUACUGCCUAGGGCCCCAUAAAUCCUAAGGACGGCCCUGCGGGGCCGGGUCACUGCUAGGCCAGGACAUCCCUUCUCCCUGGGGCCAGGUCACUGCUGGGCCGGGACGUCCCUUCCCCUCACAGCCGGGACGCUGCUGGGUUGGGAGGUCCCUUCCCCUCAGGGCCGGGACGCUGCUGGGCCGGGACAUCCCUUCUCCCUGAAGCCAGGACGCUGCUGGGCCGGAAGGUCCCUUCCCCUCGGUGCCGGGAUGGUGCUGGGCCGGGACGUACCUUCUCCCUAAAGCCAGGACACUGCUGGGCCGGGACGUCCCUUCUCCCUGAAGCCAGGACACUGCUGGGCCGGGAGGUCCCUUCUCCCCAGGACUGGGCUGCCCUGUCUCUGUUCCCAAGCCCAGAGGCACUGGAGCCGGCUGCAGUGCAAUGAGGCCAGGCUGCAGCUGCAGCAGGACCCGCCUCCUCUGCUGAAUCAGCAAUUCCUCCUGUGGCUGUGAGGUGCCUCCAUCCUUCCCCACCCAGCCCUGACUCAGCACCAUUCUGCUUUCUCCCCCUCCCCUCAUUAACCCUCGCCUCUCCAGGGCUGCUGGAAAUGACCAUGCGCCUCUGUGAUUGGCUCUGGCAGCUGCCCCGGCUGUGCAGGCAAUGUUCUGGGGGUCAGGGUGAAGUCAUUUUGGGGGCCAGUCUAA